RNAcentral lists this ribosomal RNA (379 nucleotides) under uncultured Caulobacteraceae bacterium. Its description in RNAcentral is "partial 16S ribosomal RNA". It matches the Rfam family "Bacterial small subunit ribosomal RNA", at positions 338 to 734 of the family's 1533-position model. The record is from RNAcentral. Lineage: Bacteria; Pseudomonadati; Pseudomonadota; Alphaproteobacteria; Caulobacterales; Caulobacteraceae.
CCUACGGGAGGCAGCAGUGGGGAAUCUUGCGCAAUGGGCGAAAGCCUGACGCAGCCAUGCCGCGUGAAUGAUGAAGGUCUUAGGAUUGUAAAAUUCUUUCACCGGGGACGAUAAUGACGGUACCCGGAGAAGAAGCCCCGGCUAACUUCGUGCCAGCAGCCGCGGUAAUACGAAGGGGGCUAGCGUUGCUCGGAAUUACUGGGCGUAAAGGGAGCGUAGGCGGACAUUUAAGUCAGGGGUGAAAUCCCGGGGCUCAACCUCGGAAUUGCCUUUGAUACUGGGUGUCUUGAGUAUGAGAGAGGUGUGUGGAACUCCGAGUGUAGAGGUGAAAUUCGUAGAUAUCCGGAAGAACACCAGUGGCGAAGGCGACACACUGGCU